This is a non-coding RNA of Schizosaccharomyces pombe (fission yeast), 422 nucleotides long. The record is from the annotation of a GenBank genome assembly. Lineage: Eukaryota; Fungi; Ascomycota; Schizosaccharomycetes; Schizosaccharomycetales; Schizosaccharomycetaceae.
UUAGAACUGAAGCUUCUUGAUUUAGAUCGCUGAUGUCCCGCGUCCGAUGAAGUUAUGACAUGCUUCUUUUCUGGAGAUCCUGAAGAAAACCCGAUUGCAGCAGCUAGCCUUCUUGACCAAGAUGGUUUCCUUUUGUCUGUUAACGCAGUUGAUGGACGGACUGGUAGUUUACUGGAAGAUCCAGAAAACGAAGAAAACCUCUUUUUAGAAUUAGGAAGAGUGACCUCCAAAUUAACAGAAUUUCUUGCAGCGUUAUGUGGAACACGCUUCUUUUCUAUAAUACUAUUUUUUGGUUCUUCUAUCGGUACAACAGCUGAAGAUGAGGGAUGGGAUUCAAUGGGAACAAAUUCGCUGCUCGAAGAAAUAGCUGGCUGCAUGGACAGCUUCUGUAACAUAUUUAGUCUUUCUUCCAGACGAAUAAC